GAUGAACGCUGGCGGCGUGCCUAAUACAUGCAAGUCGAGCGAACGGACGAGAAGCUUGCUUCUCUGAUGUUAGCGGCGGACGGGUGAGUAACACGUGGAUAACCUACCUAUAAGACUGGGAUAACUUCGGGAAACCGGAGCUAAUACCGGAUAAUAUUUUGAACCGCAUGGUUCAAAAGUGAAAGGCGGUCUUGCUGUCACUUAUAGAUGGAUCCGCGCUGCAUUAGCUAGUUGGUAAGGUAACGGCUUACCAAGGCAACGAUGCAUAGCCGACCUGAGAGGGUGAUCGGCCACACUGGAACUGAGACACGGUCCAGACCCCUACGGGAGGCAGCAGUAGGGAAUCUUCCGCAAUGGGCGAAAGCCUGACGGAGCAACGCCGCGUGAGUGAUGAAGGUCUUCGGAUCGUAAAACUCUGUUAUUAGGGAAGAACAUAUGUGUAAGUAACUGUGCACAUCUUGACGGUACCUAAUCAGAAAGCCACGGCUAACUACGUG
RNAcentral lists this ribosomal RNA (497 nucleotides) under uncultured bacterium. RNAcentral describes it as "partial 16S ribosomal RNA". It matches the Rfam family "Bacterial small subunit ribosomal RNA", at positions 28 to 507 of the family's 1533-position model. The record is from RNAcentral.